CAGUGCUUAAUGUAGCAGGCUUAUUGCUCAUUGGUGUAACAAUAUUAUUCCUUUUGAAAGAAAUAGCAGCUGUGGACUUAACAGGUGUAGUGGUGAACUUGGAGGUUCCAUUAGCAGGUUUAUUGCUCAUUGGUGUAACAAUAUUAUCCCUUUUGAAAGAAAUAGCAGCUGUGGACUUAACAGGUGUAGUGGUGAACUUGGAGGUUCCAUUAGCAGGUUUAUUGCUCAUUGGUGUAACAAUAUUAUCCCUUUUGAAAGAAAUAGCAGCUGUGGACUUAACAGGUGUAGUAGUGAACUUGGAGGUUUCAUUAGCAGGUUUAUUGCUCAUUGGUGUAGCAAUGUUAUCUCUUUUGAAAGAAAUAGCAGCAGUGGACUUAACAGGUGUAGAGGUUAAGUAGGAGGUUCCAUUAGC
Molecule: long non-coding RNA, 412 nt
Filed under: Glycine max (soybean)
Lineage: Eukaryota; Viridiplantae; Streptophyta; Magnoliopsida; Fabales; Fabaceae
Description: long non-coding RNA (GMAX_LNC004314)
Source: RNAcentral